Long non-coding RNA from Triticum dicoccoides, 1510 nucleotides. RefSeq lists it as uncharacterized. The transcript has 3 exons. Lineage: Eukaryota; Viridiplantae; Streptophyta; Magnoliopsida; Poales; Poaceae. The record is from RefSeq and is a predicted model, not a curated record.
CGCGAGGUGCAUCCCGAGCGCCCAGAGAGAAAUCCCUGCUGUCCAUCGAUGGACCGGCCGCCACCGGCAAUGUACCUCUCGCCGGAAUCAUACACCCAACUCCUUCUAAGCUUCUCCUCCAUCCCUGAUCUAGAUCCAAAUCGCGGUUGGACGCAACAAGAAGAACAAGAGGAGGGGGUGUUGCUGAUUUGGCCGGUAGCGGCGGCGAUUGGGCAAGCUGGAGUGAGACUGAACAUGAAUGCCAGUCCGACUCCUCCACACCAGAUCCAUCCGCACAGAGUGCCGAGGCCCACCGCCAAGUGAAUCGUGAGAACCAAGAUCUCCGGCGAGACUCGCCGCCGCGAGAUUUCGGCGGAGACACUUGGUCAGGAGAUGAUUCGUUGCAAUCUCCAAUCUCAGACAUUCAGGCAGAUAUUUCUUACCAGCAGGAAUAGGAAACCAACACUACAGACGUGCUGCAAUCAGAACGGUCUCCAAGUGACCAAUGUACAUGGAAAGGAAGGAUAUGUCGUGGGGAAAUACCAUAUCAGCAUCAGUCUAAAGAGGGAAGGGUUUGUGCGCUUGAAAAAGCAAUGCGUAGCUUUGUUGAACGGAAGUCUGGACAAGUGGUCGCCCCUGAGAUUGGAAGAGUAUUCGACUCAAUCGCAGAGGCAUUUGAGUUCUACAACCACUAUUCUUGGGAGAUUGGGUUUGGCAUCCGAUAUGGUCAAUCUAGGACAAAUGCACAGAAAAGCAGAACCGUUCAAGACAUCGUUUGUGGUUGUGCGGUUAGUAUAAAUAACCGAAAGUGUUGUGUUGGCUGCUAUCCUUGUUAUUCCACCAUACUAAUCUGUGCAUUUGUCCUAACGGGCCAAAGAAAGAAAACACGAAGUCAGUAGCAUGCAACUGCCAAGCAUUGAUCAGACUACACCGUACAGCGGAUAAUGGAUGGUAUAUACACGAUUUCAGACCUGAACACAACCACCAUUUGUCAUCAUCGUGCGGCAAGAAACUACAUUGGCCAUCACACAGGCACUUGAGGAGCAACAACAUUGGGAUAACCAAGGUUUUUUGUGUCAUCGCAAGCUUCUUUGGAUCAAUGGAGAGUGUACCAUUCAACAACAUAUCUCUCAAGUAUAUGUGCAAGAGGAUGAACUAAGAGACUGCAGAUGAUGACAUCAGGAAAACAGUUGAGCUCUUCUCUGAACUUAAGAAGAAUGACCCAAUGUUUGCUGACAGUGUCCUUGUUGACAGCCAUAGCAAAAUUCAGGCCCUUAUGUGGACCAAUGGAAGGAGUAGAUACCAAUACAAAAAUUUUGGAGAUUCUAUCACAUUCGACACCACAUAUCGUACAAACCAGUACGAUAUGCCAUUCGGUCUAUUUGUUGGUGUCAACCAUCAUUUCCAGAGCAUAAUAUUAGGAGGUGUUAUGAUGAGAAACGAGAAGCAAGAAUCAUUCGAGUGGGUAUUCAAGGAAUUUGUUUCAUUGAUGGGAGGUAAAGCACCUGUAACUAUCCUAACAGUAACUAUC